GACGAACGCUGGCGGCGUGCCUAAUACAUGCAAGUAGAACGCUGAAGGAGGAGCUUGCUUCUCUGGAUGAGUUGCGAACGGGUGAGUAACGCGUAGGUAACCUGCCUGGUAGCGGGGGAUAACCAUUGGAAACGAUAGCUAAUACCGCAUAAGAGUAGAUGUUGCAUGACAUUUGCUUAAAAGGUUCACUUGCUUCACUACCAGAUGGACCUUCGUUGUAUUAGCUAGUUGGUGGGGUAACGGCUUACCAAGGCGACGAUACAUAGCCGACCUGAGAGGGUGAUCGGCCACACUGGGACGGAGACACGGCCCAGAAUCCUACGGGAGGCAGCAGUAGGGGAUCUUCGGCAAUGGAAGGAAGUCUGACCGAGCAACGCCGCGUGAGUGAAGAAGGUUUUCGGAUCGUAAAGCUCUGUUGUAAGAGAAGAACGAGUGUGAGAGUGGAAAGUUCACACUGUGACGGUAUCUUACCAGAAAGCGACGGCUAACUACGUG
This 495-nucleotide ribosomal RNA is filed under the name uncultured bacterium. RNAcentral's name for it is "partial 16S ribosomal RNA". It matches the Rfam family "Bacterial small subunit ribosomal RNA", at positions 28 to 507 of the family's 1533-position model. The record is from RNAcentral.